Molecule: ribosomal RNA, 1041 nt
Filed under: Listeria monocytogenes
Lineage: Bacteria; Bacillati; Bacillota; Bacilli; Caryophanales; Listeriaceae
Description: bacterial SSU rRNA
Rfam family: Bacterial small subunit ribosomal RNA
Source: RNAcentral
UUUUAAUGGAGAGUUUGAUCCUGGCUCAGGACGAACGCUGGCGGCGUGCUUAACACAUGCAAGUCGAACGAUGAAGCUGUGCUUGCACAGUGGAUUAGUGGCGAACGGGUGAGUAACACGUGAGUAACCUGCCCUCCACUUUGGGAUAACUCCGAGAAAUCGGGGCUAAUACUGGAUAUGACCUUGGCCCGCAUGGGUUGUGGUGGAAAGUUUUUCGGUGGGGGAUGGGCUCGCGGCCUAUCAGUUUGUUGGUGAGGUAGUGGCUCACCAAGGCGAUGACGGGUAGCCGGCCUGAGAGGGCGACCGGCCACACUGGGACUGAGACACGGCCCAGACUCCUACGGGAGGCAGCAGUGGGGAAUAUUGCACAAUGGGCGAAAGCCUGAUGCAGCGACGCCGCGUGGGGGAUGACGGCCUUCGGGUUGUAAACCUCUUUCAGCAAGGAAGAAGCGAAAGUGACGGUACUUGCAGAAGAAGCGCCGGCUAACUACGUGCCAGCAGCCGCGGUAAUACGUAGGGCGCAAGCGUUGUCCGGAAUUAUUGGGCGUAAAGGGCUUGUAGGUGGCUUGUCGCGUCUGCCGUGAAAACUCGAGGCUUAACCUUGGGCGUGCGGUGGGUACGGGCAGGCUAGAGUGCGGUAGGGGAGACUGGAAUUCCUGGUGUAGCGGUGAAAUGCGCAGAUAUCAGGAGGAACACCGAUGGCGAAGGCAGGUCUCUGGGCCGUUACUGACACUGAGAAGCGAAAGCAUGGGGAGCGAACAGGAUUAGAUACCCUGGUAGUCCAUGCCGUAAACGUUGGGCACUAGGUGUGGGGAGCAUUCCACGUUUUCCGCGCCGUAGCUAACGCAUUAAGUGCCCCGCCUGGGGAGUACGGCCGCAAGGCUAAAACUCAAAGGAAUUGACGGGGGCCCGCACAAGCGGCGGAGCAUGCGGAUUAAUUCGAUGCAACGCGAAGAACCUUACCAAGGCUUGACAUGCACUGGAUCGCUGCAGAGAUGUGGUUUUCUUUGGACUGGUGCACAGGUGGUGCAUGGUUGUCGU